GGGUCUUCACCAGAGCAGGACCCUUGCGGCUGCUCAGCAGCUACAGGCCACUCAGGGGCAAGAAUGGGAACAAAGGCUAGAAGUUGGGGGCGGAAACACAAAGGCUUGCAGGCUCGAGAAAAUCCACAGGUAGACAGGGAGUUAGCCAUCUCUUGGCUUCUCGGCCCAGAACCCAAGUGAAAAGCAGCCUGGUGAUGGAGCAAAGGCAGAGAGUCUCGCAUCUCCCAGGUGGAGUCUGAAGGAAAGCCAAGCCCUUCCCACCUCUCCCCACCACCCCCUGCCCUGCCUCAGCCUGGCAAUAAUUUGAAUUUGCCCAUCCUUAGCCCUGCAGACCAAGCCCCCUGGGCACAGGCAGGCACAGACAGGGAGGCCGGCUGUGCCUGUACCAAUUCUCUCUACUCGUGCUAAUUGGGGCCCACUUUCAUCAAAUCCCCAGGGCAUGUGUAGACACACACACACACAUACACACACACUCCCAACUAGGCUGUUUGCCAAUAACUGCCCCCAGUUUGAAAAUAAACUCUGUCCUGCGGGCGGGCACCUGCCAGCACCUCCUCCUCCUCUCAGCUCAGCCAGCCAGCCAGUGACAAGAGCCCAGCCAAUCCUAAGAGUUCCCUCAGGAUUCAAACCAAAGGCAGAAAAGGAUGAAGAACAAGCUGGGGCACAGUAUAAAAGACUCCAGGGAGACCAUUACAAUAUGCCUGUACCGUAGCCUCUGGAAGCAGAGACCCAGCCAAUCCCAUCUACGCCUAGACCUUUGGGGAACUGAACUGGAGCCUCCUCCGGGUCAAUUCGGGGAGAGUAGAGGCCGAACUGGAUGAAGAUGGGAAGCAGGAAUCCAAAGCGCAGCCACUCGAUGACAUGCAGAGGGGGGCGGCCAGCCGGAGGCAGCAAGUCACAGCCCAGCACUGCACUCUCCCCAGCCCGGCCCACCACAGAGACCACCUCAGGCUUCCUUCGACCUAUGAGAUAACCGGUCCUACAACAGUCACAUCCCGGGGUAACACAGAGCUGUUGGUUCCCUGGGAUCUGGCUCACCGUCAGCCCCCUGGCUGAUGAUCAGGCUGAGGAUGGUCAGGCGGAGACACCAAAUCAUAGCCCAGCCGGCCUGCUCGCCCGGCCCCUCCUAUCCACAGGAGCCCAGAUGGAGGGGCCGGAGGAAUGUCCGCUGCCCAGCAAUCCCAGAGAGCAUCAGUAGAGUUCUGAUCCGCCUCAGGCAACCUGGUUUCAGCUCUCACUCUUCCAGUUGGUGCCUAGCUCACUCAAUACCCGAGGGAGCUGUUCCCGUCUGGAGGGCCGCCAGAUCUAGAUGCAAAAUAUAAGGCAAUGUACAGAGUUGGUCAGAGGAGUACAAGAAGAAAACCCUGGUAGAGCAAGGCACAGGGAAGAAAAAGAGUGUGUAGAGGAAAGGAGGGGACCUGCACAGAGACCAGAGGGAUCUUUUGGGUUGCACGUCUGGGGAUCAACUCAAGGGCCUUAUUCCCACCAAACUCUACCAUAGCCACACUCCUAGCUCCCAAACCAGAGAUCUGGAAGCCCUGAGAUUAAGCUAGGAUGGGAACACUGAGAGAACAUGAGGGUGCUGUCUGGUGGAGGCUGCACAGGACCCCCAUCUCAGCCAUACACUUUUCCGUGUCUGCAAAAUGCCAGCUUCUCACCCACCUAAUCUCCAAUUCCAGCAGGUCUUCGCACUCCUGCCUGGCCUCCUCCAGAAUUCCCUUUUGCCCUCCCCCUUCCCCCCUACCCUGCUCUCCCGGGAAUCCCCUACCCCCCAGCCCAGUUCUCCCGGGCUCAGCCCACAAUACACUUCUGAUA
Long non-coding RNA from Mastomys coucha (southern multimammate mouse), 1815 nucleotides. RefSeq lists it as uncharacterized. The record is from RefSeq and is a predicted model, not a curated record. The transcript is spliced from 5 exons. Lineage: Eukaryota; Metazoa; Chordata; Mammalia; Rodentia; Muridae.